This 217-nucleotide ribosomal RNA is filed under the name Vibrio mimicus. Its description in RNAcentral is "partial 23S ribosomal RNA". It matches the Rfam family "Bacterial large subunit ribosomal RNA", at positions 729 to 944 of the family's 2925-position model. The record is from RNAcentral. Lineage: Bacteria; Pseudomonadati; Pseudomonadota; Gammaproteobacteria; Vibrionales; Vibrionaceae.
UCUAGCCAUGGGCAGGUUGAAGGUUGAGUAACAUCAACUGGAGGACCGAACCGACUAAUGUUGAAAAAUUAGCGGAUGACUUGUGGCUAGGGGUGAAAGGCCAAUCAAACUCGGAGAUAGCUGGUUCUCCCCGAAAGCUAUUUAGGUAGCGCCUCGGACGAAUACUACUGGGGGUAGAGCACUGUUAAGGCUAGGGGGUCAUCCCGACUUACCAACU